Molecule: ribosomal RNA, 389 nt
Filed under: Podarcis tiliguerta
Lineage: Eukaryota; Metazoa; Chordata; Lepidosauria; Squamata; Lacertidae
Description: partial 12S ribosomal RNA
Rfam family: Bacterial small subunit ribosomal RNA
Source: RNAcentral
GCUAAGCCCUAAACAUUGAUAGUAAUUAUUACAAUACUUUCCGCCAGAGAACUACAAGUGAAAAACUUGAAACUCAAAGGACUUGACGGUGUCCCAUAUCGACCUAGAGGAGCCUGUCCUAUAAUCGAUACCCCCCGUUCCACCCAACCCCAACUAGCAAAAUAUCAGCCUAUAUACCGCCGUCGACAGUCUACCCCAUGAGGGUUCAACAGUAGACACAAUAGCCUUAACGCUAAUACGUCAGGUCAAGGUGUAGCAAAUGUUGAGGAAAAGAUUGGCUACAUUUUUUAUAAUAAAAAACACGAAUUGCACUAUGAAACACUGCAUGAAGGUGAAUUUAGUAGUAAAACAGACAAGAGUGUCUGUUUUAACAACGCUCUGGGACGCGU